UACGGGGGGAGCAAGCGUUGUUCGGAUUUACUGGGCGUAAAGGGCGCGUAGGCGGCCACCGCAAGUCGACUGUGAAAUCUCCGGGCUUAACCCGGAAAGGUCAAUCGAUACUGCGGGGCUAGAGUGCAGAAGGGGCAACUGGAAUUCUCGGUGUAGCGGUGAAAUGCGUAGAUAUCGAGAGGAACACCUGCGGCGAAGGCGGGUUGCUGGGCUGACACUGACGCUGAGGCGCGAAAGCUAGGGGAGCGAACGGG
This 254-nucleotide ribosomal RNA is filed under the name uncultured bacterium. RNAcentral describes it as "partial 16S ribosomal RNA". It matches the Rfam family "Bacterial small subunit ribosomal RNA", at positions 524 to 776 of the family's 1533-position model. The record is from RNAcentral.